AAGUCUAGCCUGCCCACUGAUUUUAUUGAAGGGCCGCGGUAUCCUGACCGUGCGAAGGUAGCAUAAUAAUUAGUCUUUUAAUUGAAGGCUUGUAUGAAUGGUUGGACAAAAAGCAGUCUGUCUCAGUCUUAAAAAUUGAACUUGACUUUUAAGUGAAAAGGCUUAAAUAAAUCAGAGGGACGAUAAGACCCUAUAAAGCUUUAUUGUGUAAAGUUUUCGAUAUAUAUUAUUGAGUUUAACAUAUUUUAAACUUUAACAAUUUCGUUGGGGCGACGAGAAUAUAAUAAUUAACUGUUCUUGAGUUUUUGUGUAUACAAUGAUUUUUGUAAUUAAAUGAUCCUUUAAUAAAGAUUAAAAAUUUAAGUUACUUUAGGGAUAACAGCGUAAUCUAUCUUGAGAGUUCUAAUCGACAGAAAGGAUUGCGACCUCGAUGUUGAAUUAAAAGUCCCGUACGGCGCAGCAGUUGUAAGUGGGAGGUCUGUUCGACCUUUAAAUUUUUACAUG
RNAcentral lists this ribosomal RNA (504 nucleotides) under Peisos petrunkevitchi. RNAcentral's name for it is "partial large subunit ribosomal RNA". It matches the Rfam family "Bacterial large subunit ribosomal RNA", at positions 1850 to 2602 of the family's 2925-position model. The record is from RNAcentral. Lineage: Eukaryota; Metazoa; Arthropoda; Malacostraca; Decapoda; Sergestidae.